RNAcentral lists this ribosomal RNA (1343 nucleotides) under uncultured bacterium. RNAcentral describes it as "16S ribosomal RNA". It matches the Rfam family "Bacterial small subunit ribosomal RNA", at positions 28 to 1378 of the family's 1533-position model. The record is from RNAcentral.
GACGAACGCUUGCGGCGUGCUUAACACAUGCAAGUCGAACGGAAAGGCCCUGCUUUUGUGGGGUGCUCGAGUGGCGAACGGGUGAGUAACACGUGAGUAACCUGCCCUUGACUUUGGGAUAACUUCAGGAAACUGGGGCUAAUACCGGAUAGGAGCUCCUGCUGCAUGGUGGGGGUUGGAAAGUUUCGGCGGUUGGGGAUGGACUCGCGGCUUAUCAGCUUGUUGGUGGGGUAGUGGCUUACCAAGGCUUUGACGGGUAGCCGGCCUGAGAGGGUGACCGGCCACAUUGGGACUGAGAUACGGCCCAGACUCCUACGGGAGGCAGCAGUGGGGAAUAUUGCACAAUGGGCGGAAGCCUGAUGCAGCAACGCCGCGUGCGGGAUGACGGCCUUCGGGUUGUAAACCGCUUUCGCCUGUGACGAAGCGUGAGUGACGGUAAUGGGUAAAGAAGCACCGGCUAACUACGUGCCAGCAGCCGCGGUGAUACGUAGGGUGCGAGCGUUGUCCGGAUUUAUUGGGCGUAAAGGGCUCGUAGGUGGUUGAUCGCGUCGGAAGUGUAAUCUUGGGGCUUAACCCUGAGCGUGCCUUCGAUACGGGUUGACUUGAGGAAGGUAGGGGAGAAUGGAAUUCCUGGUGGAGCGGUGGAAUGCGCAGAUAUCAGGAGGAACACCAGUGGCGAAGGCGGUUCUCUGGGCCUUUCCUGACGCUGAGGAGCGAAAGCGUGGGGAGCGAACAGGCUUAGAUACCCUGGUAGUCCACGCUGUAAACGGUGGGUACUAGGUGUGGGGUCCAUUCCACGGGUUCCGUGCCGUAGCUAACGCUUUAAGUACCCCGCCUGGGGAGUACGGCCGCAAGGCUAAAACUCAAAGGAAUUGACGGGGCCCCGCACAAGCGGCGGAGCAUGCGGAUUAAUUCGAUGCAACGCGUAGAACCUUACCUGGGUUUGACAUGGAUCGGGAGUGCUCAGAGAUGGGUGUGCCUCUUUUGGGGUCGGUUCACAGGUGGUGCAUGGCUGUCGUCAGCUCGUGUCGUGAGAUGUUGGGUUAAGUCCCGCAACGAGCGCAACCCUUGUUCACUGUUGCCAGCACGUUAUGGUGGGGACUCAGUGGAGACCGCCGGGGUCAACUCGGAGGAAGGUGGGGAUGACGUCAAGUCAUCAUGCCCCUUAUGUCCAGGGCUUCACGCAUGCUACAAUGGCUGGUACAGAGAGUGGCGAGCCUGUGAGGGUGAGCGAAUCUCGGAAAGCCGGUCUCAGUUCGGAUUGGGGUCUGCAACUCGACCUCAUGAAGUCGGAGUCGCUAGUAAUCGCAGAUCAGCAACGCUGCGGUGAAUACGUUCCCGGG